This 162-nucleotide non-coding RNA is filed under the name Streptomyces silvensis. RNAcentral describes it as "Streptomyces sRNA scr5239". It matches the Rfam family "Streptomyces sRNA scr5239". From Rfam's summary of the family: It inhibits agarase DagA expression by direct base pairing to the dagA coding region, and it represses translation of methionine synthase metE (SCO0985) at the 5' end of its open reading frame. Lineage: Bacteria; Bacillati; Actinomycetota; Actinomycetes; Kitasatosporales; Streptomycetaceae. The record is from Rfam by way of RNAcentral.
GCCCCGCUCUUCCCGCACAGAAGAGCGGAUCGAGGAGCCGGCGCUCUCUGCCCUGACCGCGCCGGGUUCUCCCGAAUCGGCGGCUGGUACCGCACAUUCCGGUCGUCGAUGCACCUGAAGGGCUGCGGUGUUGGGGUCGGGUUGAGGGUCCCGCCCCGGCGC